RNAcentral lists this ribosomal RNA (207 nucleotides) under uncultured bacterium. RNAcentral's name for it is "partial 16S ribosomal RNA". It matches the Rfam family "Bacterial small subunit ribosomal RNA", at positions 568 to 774 of the family's 1533-position model. The record is from RNAcentral.
UGCGUAGGCGGGUCUUUAAGUCAGGGGUGAAAUCCUGGAGCUCAACUCCAGAACUGCCUUUGAUACUGAAGAUCUUGAGUUCGGGAGAGGUGAGGUGGAACUGCGAGUGUAGAGGUGAAAUUCGUAGAUAUUCGCAAGAACACCAGUGGCGAAGGCGGCUCACUGGCCCGAUACUGACGCUGAGGCACGAAAGCGUGGGAGCAAACA